Non-coding RNA from Myroides profundi, 74 nucleotides. Lineage: Bacteria; Pseudomonadati; Bacteroidota; Flavobacteriia; Flavobacteriales; Flavobacteriaceae. The record is from Rfam.
GCCGGUGUAGCUCAGCUGGCUAGAGCAGCUGAUUUGUAAUCAGCAGGUCGUGGGUUCGAGUCCCUCCAUCGGCU